UACGGGGGGGGCAAGCGUUGUUCGGAAUUACUGGGCGUAAAGGGCGCGUAGGCGGCACAGCAAGUCGGGAGUGAAAGCCCGGGGCUCAACCCCGGAACUGCUUUCGAAACUGCUGAGCUAGAGUACAGAAGGGGCAACCGGAAUUCCCAGUGUAGCGGUGAAAUGCGUAGAUAUUGGGAAGAACACCUGAGGCGAAGGCGGGUUGCUGGGCUGAUACUGACGCUGAGGCGCGAAAGCCAGGGGAGCAAACGGG
This 253-nucleotide ribosomal RNA is filed under the name uncultured bacterium. RNAcentral describes it as "partial 16S ribosomal RNA". It matches the Rfam family "Bacterial small subunit ribosomal RNA", at positions 524 to 776 of the family's 1533-position model. The record is from RNAcentral.